Molecule: ribosomal RNA, 443 nt
Filed under: uncultured bacterium
Lineage: Bacteria
Description: partial 16S ribosomal RNA
Rfam family: Bacterial small subunit ribosomal RNA
Source: RNAcentral
CCUACGGGAGGCAGCAGUGGGGAAUAUUGGACAAUGGGGGGAACCCUGAUCCAGCGACGCCGCGUGAGUGAAGAAGUAUCUCGGUAUGUAAAGCUCUAUCAGCAGGGAAGAAAGACAUGACGGUACCUGACUAAGAAGCCCCGGCUAACUACGUGCCAGCAGCCGCGGUAAUACGUAGGGGGCAAGCGUUAUCCGGAUUUACUGGGUGUAAAGGGAGCGUAGACGGCGAUGCAAGUCUGAAGUGAAAGGCGGGGGCCCAACCCCCGUACUGCUUUGGAAACUGUGCAGCUGGAGUGCAGGGGAGGUAAGCGGAAUUCCUAGUGUAGCGGUGAAAUGCGUAGAUAUUAGGAGGAACACCAGUGGCGAAGGCGGCUUACUGGACUGUAACUGACGUUGAGGCUCGAAAGCGUGGGGAGCAAACAGGAUUAGAUACCCUGGUAGUC